Molecule: ribosomal RNA, 520 nt
Filed under: uncultured Glomus
Lineage: Eukaryota; Fungi; Glomeromycota; Glomeromycetes; Glomerales; Glomeraceae
Description: SSU rRNA
Rfam family: Eukaryotic small subunit ribosomal RNA
Source: RNAcentral
AGCAGCCGCGGUAAUUCCAGCUCCAAUAGCGUAUAUUAAAGUUGUUGCAGUUAAAAAGCUCGUAGUUGAAUUUCGGGAUCAAAUUGUUGGUCGUGCCUCGGUACGCACUGGUAUUAUUGGUUCCUACCUUCUGAAGAACCGCGAUGUCAUUAAUUUGGUGUCGUGGGGAAUCAGGACUGUUACUUUGAAAAGAUUAGAGUGUUUAAAGCAGGCUUACGCUUGAAUACAUUAGCAUGGAAUAAUGAAAUAGGACGUUUGAUUCUAUUUUGUUGGUUUCUAGGAUUGACGUAAUGAUUAAUAGGGAUAGUUGGGGGCAUUAGUAUUCAAUUGUCAGAGGUGAAAUUCUUGGAUUUAUUGAAGACUAACUACUGCGAAAGCAUUUGCCAAGGAUGUUUUCAUUAAUCAAGAACGAAAGUUAGGGAUCGAAGACGAUCAGAUACCGUCGUAGUCUUAACCAUAAACUAUGCCGACUAGGGAUCGGAUGAUGUUAAUUUUUAAUGACUCAUUCGGCGCCUUAACC